This is an RNA transcript of Osmia lignaria (orchard mason bee), 3661 nucleotides long. It is a transcript of the gene named exosome complex exonuclease RRP44-like protein Dis3, with no coding region annotated. Lineage: Eukaryota; Metazoa; Arthropoda; Insecta; Hymenoptera; Megachilidae. The record is from RefSeq and is a predicted model, not a curated record.
AGAUUCACAUACUUCACACGUAAAAUGUUUUUUGUAAUAUAAUUAUGAUUAAUUGAUCGAUUUAUUAGAUAAUAAUUUACAUUAUUCGCAGUUGUCUGCCAUGAUUGUCAUGUCGCGCAACUUAUACAGUUUACGAUACACGUGCAACGUUUAGUGCUUGAUAUACACAUAUAUGUUUGAAUUUAAGAAACAUUUUAUUUUAUUUUAUGUACAGAAAGUAUAUUUUGCAUAAUAUAAAUAAUCAUCAUGUUGAAAACGAAAGUUUUCUUUAGAAAAACUAAGGGAGGAAAGGUUUUUAAGACUGUUAGAGAACAUUAUCUCAGAGAUGAUAUUCACUGUGGUUCUAAAGCAUGUGAUAAAUGCUUGUACAGAAACCGGAAUAUAAUUUUAGAUGAUGAAGAUUCAGGUGUAAAAAGCUCAAAACUAUUGUAUCCAUAUUACCUUCUACUUGAUACUAACAUUAUUUUAGAUCAGAUUGAUGUUUUGGAAGAAGAUGUUAUCUGUAAUGUAAUAAUAUUACAAACAGUGUUAGAAGAAAUAAAACACAGAAGUUCUACUGUAUAUAAGAAAUUGAAGGAUGUAAUUGCUAAUACACGUAGAAAAUUUUAUGUAUUUGUUAAUGAACAUCAUAAAGAAACUUACAUUGAACGUAAUCCAGGUGAAAGUGCAAAUGACAGAAAUGAUAGAGCAAUCAGAGUUGCAGCAAAAUGGUAUAACAUGCAUUUAAGUUCUCUUGGUUGCAAAAUGAAAACUGUGUUAUUAACUGACGAUAUUCGUAAUAGAGAGCUGGCAAUUGCAGAAGGAAUCCCGGUUCUUUCGAUGGAGGACUAUGUUACUUCAUUGGAAAAUUCAGGAUUUCUGGCAGAUAAAUUAUGUAAAAAGAGUUACGGCACAGAUUCCGAUGGUCAAACAGUUUUUCCAUGUCACCUUACACCAUCUGAAUUACACGAAGGUAUCAAAAAUGGCAAACUUCUACAAGGAACAUUUGCCAUAUCAAGAGAAAAUUUCCUUGAAGGAUUCGUUAAAGUUGAAAGGGCCGAGAAAGAGAUUUUUAUCCAAGGUCGUAGUAACCUUAAUAGAGCAGUUGAUGGUGAUACAGUUGCAUUAGAACUCUUAGCAGAGGAUCAGUGGUCAUCUCCCAGUGACAUUGUCUUACAAGAUGAAGAAGCAGAUGUUGAUGAUGUGAUAGAAACUGAGAAAGUAUUAGAUAAAAUUAAUUCUUCAAACAAAAUGCAAAAGACACCAACUGGGAAGAUUGUUGGUAUUAUUAGGAGAAAUUGGAGGCAAUAUUGUGGGAUACUUCAGCCUAGUAAUAUAGAAGGGAAUGUGAGACAUUUGUUUGUGCCAGCUGAACGAAAAAUACCUAAAAUAAGAAUUGAAACUAGACAAUACUCAGUGUUAAGUAAACAAAGGAUUAUCGUUGCCAUUGAUUCUUGGCCGCGUAAUUCAAGAUAUCCUCUUGGUCAUUUUGUACGUGCAUUGGGUGAAAUAGGAGAUAAAGCGACCGAAAACAAAGUAAUACUUUUAGAGCACGAUGUUCCGCAUAGUAGAUUCUCCGAUGCAGUUCUUAGUUCACUUCCGAAGAUGCCAUGGCGCAUCACAGAUGCUGAUUUAGUACAAAGAGAAGAUCUUAGACACCUGGAUAUAUGUUCAGUUGAUCCACCAGGAUGUACAGAUAUUGAUGAUGCGCUUCAUUGUAGAGAACUACCAAAUGGUAAUCUUGAAGUAGGUGUACAUAUCGCGGACGUAACGCACUUUAUUAGACCUGGAACUGCAUUAGAUAAAGAGGCAGCUUUACGAGCUACGACCGUGUAUUUGGUUGACACAAGGAUUCAAAUGAUUCCAGAACUACUCAGUACAAAUCUUUGUUCUUUGAGGGGAAAUGAAGAAAGAUUAGCAUUUUCCUGUAUAUGGGAAAUGGACAAAGAUGCAAAUGUAAUUAAUACUAGACAUUGUAAAUCUAUUAUUCGUUCGCGAGCAGCAAUGACUUACGACGAGGCUCAGUUGAAAAUCGACGAUGCUACUCAGCAAGAGCCAGUUGCAACAUCAUUGAGGAAUCUUAAUAGUUUAGCAAAGAAGUUAAAAAAGAGACGUUUAGAAAAUGGUGCACUAGUAUUGGCAUCUCCUGAAAUCCGGUUCGAAGUGGAUUCUGAAACCCACGAUCCCAUUGAUGUGGAAGCUAAAAAAUUGCGAGAAACUAAUUCCAUGGUUGAAGAAUUUAUGUUGCUAGCAAAUAUUUCAGUUGCUAAAAAGAUUGUAGAAGAAUUUCCAGAGUGUGCAGUAUUAAGAAGACAUCCUGAGCCACCGCUUGCCAAUUUUGAACCGCUUAUAAAAGCUGGAAAGAAUCAAGGCUUUGUUAUAAACACUAACAGUGGUAAAGAAUUGGCAGAAUCUUUAGACAGAUGUCAUAAAGAAAACAAUCCUUAUUUCAACACUAUGUUGAGAAUACUCGCUACACGUUGUAUGAUGCAAGCUGUGUAUUUCAUUAGUGGAAUGCAUCAACCAAGUGAAUACUUUCAUUACGGUUUAGCAUGCCCCAUUUAUACUCACUUUACAUCACCUAUUCGAAGGUAUGCGGAUGUAAUGGUACAUCGUUUAUUAGCAGUUUGCAUUGGAGCCGAUGCAACAUAUCCUGACUUAUUGGACAAGAAGAAAAAUCAUGCGUUAUGUCAUAAUCUAAAUUAUCGUAAUAGAAUGGCACAGUAUGCUGGACGAGCGUCUGUUGCACUUAACACACAUUUGUUCUUUAGAGGAAAAAUUCAGGAUGAAGAAGGGUACAUACUAUUUGUGCGAAAAAAUGCCUUACAAAUAUUAAUUCCAAAGUAUGGUCUGGAGGGAACUUUGUAUUUGAACGAAAACAAAGCAAACUCUAUAACAUUUAAAUACAACAACGAGGAUCAUUCACAAACUUGUGGAAAUGUUAUGUUCCGUACUUUUGAUCCUGUUAUAGUGCAAAUCAGUUUGGACAGAUCCAAUGUACAGCAUGAGAAAUUAGUAUUUAAACUGGUUAAACCAUAUAUUGCAGGUUUCAGUGUACCUUCAAUAAACACAGAAUGUUCAUCAGUUGUAUUAGUACAAAAUCCAAAAGAGGUACCAAAAAGAAAGAUGGACGUAGAAAAAACCUCAGAUAAGAACACUAAAAGUGGAGGAAGUAAAAAGAAAAGGAAAAAUAAGAAGCAUCAGUAGUACUAUGUACUAUUGUUUGCUGUGAAAACUUCUAUUUAUGACUAUUUUUUGUACAUUGAAAACACGUUGAGAUAACAUUGCUAAUGCACAGAAUUUACCAGAAAAAUAUCUGCAGAAACUAGGGACUAAACUACAACAGUGAAAUAAUAAAAAUGUAAAAAAUAACAUUUGGUUUGUACAAAGUUAAACCAGACUUCUUGAUGGUAUGUACUUAUAUCGUUUUUUACUGAAAUGAUUUAACAUAACAAUUAUAUUUGAACAGAAGAAUAAAUAAAGUACUAUAUUAUUAUUUAUUGUAAUACAAAUACCGGUUACAAUAAAAACGUAAAUAUGUGUAUAUGUAAUGUAACAAUCAUGUUUGAUAAAAAUUUUUUUAAUCAAUGGAAGUAUACAUGUGUACUGACAUCAUAAGUCUUACUUGCAAGAUAAGAAUUACAUACUUCCAUUAUUCAAAAGAAUAAUAAAUAAAAGUUAA